This is a long non-coding RNA of Passer domesticus (house sparrow), 540 nucleotides long. RefSeq lists it as uncharacterized. Lineage: Eukaryota; Metazoa; Chordata; Aves; Passeriformes; Passeridae. The transcript is spliced from 4 exons. The record is from RefSeq and is a predicted model, not a curated record.
GUUUCCUCACUAGCCCUGCCUGCUCUCAGGACUGAUCUCUCUUGCAGGGCUGGAGCAGGCACUUGGAAUGCCCCUGGCUGAGGGUGCAAGACAGCCAACCCACCUCUGCUGCUCAUGAAAACAGGUGCCAAGAAGAUUUUUAUGGUGGCAUCGUAAGAAAAAUCAGGCUAAGUUCAUCCCAAGCUGCAGGCUAUUGGAAUGUCUUCUGUGUGGGACAGGGAACUGAAAUAUAAGGGAUUUUAUCCUCAUUUAGCAUUUAUUCCUUACCUACCCCAAAUUAAAACUGAGCUCCACAAAGGCUGCUGUCCCCAUACCUCAUCCUGCUGCACUGCACAGUCACAGCCUCCACCACACUCUGUGGGAUAAACAAAGACAAGUCUCUGAGCUGUAUGAAGAUUGGAAACUUCCCUGAGCCCUGACCAUGCCCAGUUAACCAGGCAGCAUGCCUAACCCUUGGAAUACAGCAGAGACUGCUCCUCUUAGCCCUAGAAGUCGCUUGCCAAAACCAUCCCUGGAGGAGGAUUGGGAAGGAACUUCAAU